AGAGUUUGAUCCUGGCUCAGGACGAACGCUGGCGGCGCGCCUAACACAUGCAAGUCGAACGAGCGAGAGAGAGCUUGCUUUCUUGAGCGAGUGGCGAACGGGUGAGUAACGCGUGAGGAACCUGCCUCAAAGAGGGGGACAACAGUUGGAAACGACUGCUAAUACCGCAUAAGCCCACGGCUCGGCAUCGAGCAGAGGGAAAAGGAGCAAUCCGCUUUGAGAUGGCCUCGCGUCCGAUUAGCUAGUUGGUGAGGUAACGGCCCACCAAGGCGACAAUCGGUAGCCGGACUGAGAGGUUGAACGGCCACAUUGGGACUGAGACACGGCCCAGACUCCUACGGGAGGCAGCAGUGGGGAAUAUUGCACAAUGGGGGAAACCCUGAUGCAGCGACGCCGCGUGGAGGAAGAAGGUCUUCGGAUUGUAAACUCCUGUUGUUGAGGAAGAUAUGACGGUACUCAACAAGGAAGUGACGGCUAACUACGUGCCAGCAGCCGCGGUAAAACGUAGGUCACAAGCGUUGUCCGGAAUUACUGGGUGUAAAGGGAGCGCAGGCGGGAAGACAAGUUGGAAGUGAAAUCCAUGGGCUCAACCCAUGAACUGCUUUCAAAACUGUUUUUCUUGAGUAGUGCAGAGGUAGGCGGAAUUCCCGGUGUAGCGGUGGAAUGCGUAGAUAUCGGGAGGAACACCAGUGGCGAAGGCGGCCUACUGGGCACCAACUGACGCUGAGGCUCGAAAGUGUGGGUAGCAAACAGGAUUAGAUACCCUGGUAGUCCACACUGUAAACGAUGAUUACUAGGUGUUGGAGGAUUGACCCCUUCAGUGCCGCAGUUAACACAAUAAGUAAUCCACCUGGGGAGUACGACCGCAAGGUUGAAACUCAAAGGAAUUGACGGGGGCCCGCACAAGCAGUGGAGUAUGUGGUUUAAUUCGACGCAACUCGAAGAACCUUACCAAGUCUUGACAUCCUGCGACGCACAUAGAAAUAUGUGUUUCCUUCGGGACGCAGAGACAGGUGGUGCAUGGUUGUCGUCAGCUCGUGUCGUGAGAUGUUGGGUUAAGUCCCGCAACGGGCGCAACCCCUAUCUUUAGUAGCCAGCGGUUCGGCCGGGCACUCUAGAGAGACUGCCAGGGAUAACCUGGAGGAAGGUGGGGAUGACGUCAAAUCAUCAUGCCCCUUAUGAGCAGGGCUACACACGUGCUACAAUGGCGUAAACAAAGGGAGGCAGAACCGCGAGGUCGAGCAAAUCCCAAAAAUAACGUCUCAGUUCGGAUUGUAGUCUGCAACUCGACUACAUGAAGCUGGAAUCGCUAGUAAUCGCGAAUCAGAAUGUCGCGGUGAAUACGUUCCCGGGUCUUGUACACACCGCCCGUCACACCAUGGGAGUCAGUAACGCCCGAAGUCAGUGACCCAACCGUAAGGAGGGAGCUGCCGAAGGUGGGACCGAUAACUGGGGUGAAGUCGUAACAAGGUA
This 1473-nucleotide ribosomal RNA is filed under the name metagenome. RNAcentral's name for it is "bacterial SSU rRNA". It matches the Rfam family "Bacterial small subunit ribosomal RNA". The record is from RNAcentral.